AUAUCAAUAAGCGGAGGAAAAGAAACCAACAGGGAUUGCCUUAGUAACGGCGAGUGAAGCGGCAAGAGCUCAAAUUUGAAAUCUGCCUCGGCCCGAAUUGUAAUUUGAAGAGGAAUGUUCGGCAAUGCCGUCGGUCCAAGUCUUUUGGAACUGAGCGUCGUAGAGGGUGAGAACCCCGUACCGGCUGGUCGGCAGAGCUAUGUGAACUUCCUUCGAAGAGUCGAGUUGUUUGGGAAUGCAGCUCAAAAUGGGUGGUAAAUUCCAUCUAAAGCUAAAUAUUGGCCAGAGACCGAUAGCGCACAAGUA
This 306-nucleotide ribosomal RNA is filed under the name uncultured eukaryote. Its description in RNAcentral is "partial large subunit ribosomal RNA". It matches the Rfam family "Eukaryotic large subunit ribosomal RNA", at positions 40 to 350 of the family's 3401-position model. The record is from RNAcentral.